GCGCACCAGGCGAGAAUCUUCGGCAAUGGGCGAAAGCCUGACCGAGCGACGCCGCGUGCGGGAUGAAGGCCUUCGGGUUGUAAACCGCUGUCAGAGGGGAGGAAAUGCCAGGGGGUCGACCUCCUGGCUUGACCUAUCCUCAGAGGAAGGACGGGCGUAAGUUCGUGCCAGCAGCCGCGGUAAGACGAACCGUCCAACGUUAUUCGGAUUACUGGGCUUAAAGGGUGCGUAGGCGGCCGUGCAAGUCGGGUGUGAAAUCCCCUCGGCUCAAACCGAGGAACUGCGCCCGAUACUGCUCGGCUAGAGGGAGACAGAGGUGAGCGGAACUUGCGGUGGAGCGGUGAAAUGCGUUGAUAUCGCAAGGGACACCCCGUGGCGAAAGCGGCUCACUGGGGUCUCUUCUGACGCUGAGGCACGAAAGCUAGGGGAGCGAAC
RNAcentral lists this ribosomal RNA (435 nucleotides) under uncultured microorganism. RNAcentral's name for it is "bacterial SSU rRNA". It matches the Rfam family "Bacterial small subunit ribosomal RNA", at positions 346 to 773 of the family's 1533-position model. The record is from RNAcentral.